UCCAGCUUGUUCUUUGUGAUGUGUCAUAAC
RNAcentral lists this non-coding RNA (30 nucleotides) under Mus musculus (house mouse). The record is from RNAcentral. Lineage: Eukaryota; Metazoa; Chordata; Mammalia; Rodentia; Muridae.